CUUACACAUGCAAGUCGAACNGGUAACAGGUCUUCGGAUGCUGACGAGUGGCGAACGGGUGAGUAAUACAUCGGAACGUGCCCGAUCGUGGGGGAUAACGAAGCGAAAGCUUUGCUAAUACCGCAUACGAUCUACGGAUGAAAGCAGGGGACCGCAAGGCCUUGCGCGAACGGAGCGGCCGAUGGCAGAUUAGGUAGUUGGUGGGAUAAAAGCUUACCAAGCCGACGAUCUGUAGCUGGUCUGAGAGGACGACCAGCCACACUGGGACUGAGACACGGCCCAGACUCCUACGGGAGGCAGCAGUGGGGAAUUUUGGACAAUGGGCGAAAGCCUGAUCCAGCCAUGCCGCGUGCAGGAUGAAGGCCUUCGGGUUGUAAACUGCUUUUGUACGGAACGAAAAGACUCUGGUUAAUACCUGGGGUCCAUGACGGUACCGUAAGAAUAAGCACCGGCUAACUACGUGCCAGCAGCCGCGGUAAUACGUAGGGUGCAAGCGUUAAUCGGAAUUACUGGGCGUAAAGCGUGCGCAGGCGGUUAUAUAAGACAGA
RNAcentral lists this ribosomal RNA (548 nucleotides) under uncultured beta proteobacterium. Its description in RNAcentral is "bacterial SSU rRNA". It matches the Rfam family "Bacterial small subunit ribosomal RNA", at positions 48 to 592 of the family's 1533-position model. Lineage: Bacteria; Pseudomonadati; Pseudomonadota; Betaproteobacteria. The record is from RNAcentral.